RNAcentral lists this ribosomal RNA (253 nucleotides) under uncultured bacterium. Its description in RNAcentral is "partial 16S ribosomal RNA". It matches the Rfam family "Bacterial small subunit ribosomal RNA", at positions 524 to 776 of the family's 1533-position model. The record is from RNAcentral.
UACGGAGGGUGCAAGCGUUAUCCGGAAUUACUGGGUUUAAAGGGUGCGUAGGCGGCUUGAUAAGUCAGAGGUGAAAGCCUAUCGCUUAACGGUUGAAUUGCCUUUGAUACUGUAAAGCUUGAAAGGGGUUGAGGUCAGCAGAAUGUGGCAUGUAGCGGUGAAAUGCAUAGAUUUGCCAUAGAACACCGAUUGCGAAGUAAGCUGGCUGGGCCUACUUUGACGCGGAGGCGCGAAAGCGUGGGGAGCGAACAGG